This 253-nucleotide ribosomal RNA is filed under the name uncultured bacterium. RNAcentral's name for it is "partial 16S ribosomal RNA". It matches the Rfam family "Bacterial small subunit ribosomal RNA", at positions 524 to 776 of the family's 1533-position model. The record is from RNAcentral.
UACAGAGGGUGCAAGCGUUAAUCGGAAUUACUGGGCGUAAAGCGAGCGUAGUCGGUUAUUUAAGUCGGGUGUGAAAGCCCCGGGCUCAACCUGGGAAUUGCAUUCGAUACUGGAUAGCUAGAGUUCGGCAGAGGGAAGCGGAAUUUCCGGUGUAGCGGUGAAAUGCGUAGAUAUCGGGAAGAACACCCGUGGCUAAGGCGGCUCUCUAGUACGGUACUGACGCUGAGACGCGAAAGCGUGGGGAGCGAACAGG